This 276-nucleotide long non-coding RNA is filed under the name Anas platyrhynchos platyrhynchos (common mallard). Its description in RNAcentral is "lncRNA (ENSAPLG00000024153.1)". Lineage: Eukaryota; Metazoa; Chordata; Aves; Anseriformes; Anatidae. The record is from RNAcentral.
UGAAUGACAGCUGUUUGAAUUUUUAUAAUUAUUCCCUAAAUCCAGUUUGAAUCUGCAGGAAUCUCCGGAGUCAAACAGAAGAGAACAGGUCAUCAAUACAGAAAGAGGAGAGAAAAAAAAAAAAAAAGCCAAAAAAGCCCAGUGCAAAUUCUAAUGCUCACGGCAUCGUCUUACUUAUAAACUCCCUGCAUACCCACAGCUUUUUGUCUCCUCUUUCAGUAUGAAGUUUUUCACAAUGUUGUUUUGAAACAGAAUAGUGUCUAGAGAACAGUGCUA